CCCUAGGUGGAAAAUGCAAAUGCAAAUUUAAUCGCAAAGCCAGCCGGCGGCCGAAUGAUGCCCCUCACCUCAUCACCCCCGGCAGCGCCAGUAACAGCUGAACCACGAUGGUCCCGGUGCCAGGUCUCGCCCGGGGCGCUGGCUCCUUGCUGGAUUGUCCCAUCCCCCGAUCAGGGAAGCAGGAGUGGGAGAAGUUUUUUAACUGAAUUUUCCACUCUGUGGAAUAAAAGUCUCCUGACCUUGAAA
Chelonoidis abingdonii (Abingdon island giant tortoise) is the source of this 246-nucleotide non-coding RNA. Lineage: Eukaryota; Metazoa; Chordata; Testudines; Testudinidae. The record is from RefSeq and is a predicted model, not a curated record.